CGAACGACGGUCGACGGCAGAGGUAAAACCCUCACCUUCCUCCGUGGGGGCGAUGGCGGCGCCGGAAUCGGAAUGCGGCGGGAGUGACGGCUACCGCGACCUCCGCGGCGUGCGCGUCGACCUGGACACGGGAGCAGCCGGAGCCGAUGGGGGAGGAGGCUUCGCCGUCUCCUUCUGGCUCUACCUGUCCGUCUCCGCCAGACCGUCCUCAGUGAUCCUCCACCAGAUCACAGCGGGAGAUGACACCAAGUUGCCGUUUCUUGCUUUAGGUGAAGGAAACAAACUGCUUCUCUUCCCGUUGAUGAGGCUGCACAGGGAAGCUCCUGCUCCUGCUAGUUCCUACCCAUGGACUGACACAACCAAUCUAUCAUCUACGAGUGUAUGCCCUCUUGAGAAAUGGUUCCACAUUGGGUGUGAGGUUACUGAAAAUGUUAUGUGUCUUCACGUUGAUGGUUUCCUAACUGCUGAGGCCCCCCUUUGUUCACUGUUUGAUGAGCCAGACCGUCAGGAUGAUUCAAACCAAAUUAGCUUAGUUGGAAAUGAUGGCAAGCUUGAAGGCUAUAUCUAUAAUAUUGAGGUUUCAUAUGUACUAGGAGCUAUAAAAGAACAAUACACAAAGAACCCACCUUUUAAGUUAUCUAUUGACUAUUCAUGCUCUGAUGGAAUCGAAGAGGGUGAUGACGGCAUUUGGAGCAUCGUUGGUGGGAAGGCAUCUUGCCGGAGAAAUUUCAUUUUGGAAGUAGUACUAACCAACACUUUUGGUGAACCUGUGAAGGAUAAAGAGGUCGUUGCUUCACUUGUCUAUGCUGAUGAUGGAACAGUAGUUGCAAAAUCAAGGGAUGAUUCUGAGCCUCCUUUGCUUAUUACUUGAGAAGGACUUGAAUAUGCAGCGAUAAGCAGGCCUCUACCAAUUAUACGUGGGAGAGCACCAUUUAAACUCAAGAUAUCUCAGCUCUCUUCCAAAUGUGACAAUAAGCUCUUCCGUAUUAAAUUCUCUACACUUCACAUGCAAAGAUAUUCUUUUCUGGAAGCAUAUUCCAAACCGAUUCGCUGUAUAUCUCGAAGCCGCACUGUCCGCCCCUUGGGUCCUACAAAGCGGGCGAGUUCUGCAACAGCAAAUGAAAUUGACAUGCUCAGUAAUGGCCAAGGGUUUGUUAGUACUGACAAAGUAAAUAGUCGUGGACAUUCAGUGUGUCUGCAUACGCCCAUGUUUCCCAAGAUAGAAGGUGGAAUGGUGGAGGUAGUAGAGGCCCCCAAAAUAGCAUCACAGAAUAAGAAUGCCAGAAAGGUGGUAGUAAGCAAAGAAGCACAGAAUGUCAUAGGGACUGAUUCCUCAACAUCCAACUAUGACAGUUUUGAUUCAGGAAGUUCUUGGAGUGGAUCAGAAGGAGAUGAUGGUAUUGAAACCUUUUCAGACGCUGUGGUUUUCAGAUACUGUCUAGACAGCACAUAUGACCGGUCAAAGUUUCUUAGAGGUGCAUCUCUUACUGUUAACAAAGAUGACUUGGUAAAACUUGCAGACCGAGUCUCGUUAUAUAGUGGAUGCUCCCACCACAGAAACCAAAUAUUAAUGUCGAAGAGAUUGUUCAGAGAGGGUGCUGACACUUGGAACAUGAUCUCAAAGAACAAUGAACGUGCUCUUUGGUCAUCUGCCAUUCCAGAGAUCAUAACAAAAUUUACGAACAUUGUCCAUUCUGUGCGUAGGGGUUUAUCAGAGCAGGAUCUUGAGGUUUUAAGAGGCAUUGCUGGUUGUGGUGAGGACAUAGGAAGAGAUGAAUUUGAUAGGCUAUGGUGCUGGUUAUACCUAGUGGUUGUUUCAUUAUCGAGAGAGAGAAUUAAAAAGCUGUGGGAUUGCACAGCACCUAGAUGGAUAGAGGGCUUGAUUACAACAGAAGAAGCUGAGAAUGCACUAAGAAGUUCCAGGGAAUUGUUAAAGGAGGCAGGAACAUUUGUUCUCAGAUUUCCUAUCACCCGAAGCUGGCCACAUCCAGAUGCUGGAAGCCUAGUUGUCAAUUACAUUGGCUCUGAUAGCUCAAUUCAUCAUAGGCUACUCUCUCUUGAUUCCAGUGAUGCUAGCGCUGAGAAACUGCAAGAUUUGCUGCUCCAGGAACCAGAACUAUCACAGUUGGGCAGGGUUGAUCGGGUCUCAAUCACCAUCCGGAGAUGACCAAGGCUUCAAACGGUUAAACUUACAUUCAAAAGCAGGAUUUAGGAUGCUGCCACGAGAAGAGGGUCAAAAGCAUCCAAGAGCAUAGCCCAUAACACCCAUUGCCUGUUGUUACCAUGCACAGGUUGUAAAUUGGUUCCCUUCGUAGUUCGUACAAAGAGGAUGUUUUGCCGUACUAGUGAGGUCUAGUCUAGUUGCUUCAGAAAACCAACAGUAACAUCAGCUAUCAUGUGUGUUGCAAAAAGAAAGAAGCUGUCAUCAUGUGCCUCGAGACUGGAGGAUUUUCAGUGGCUAACAUGUUG
RNA transcript from Zea mays, 2469 nucleotides. It is a transcript of the gene named SH2 domain-containing protein A, with no coding region annotated. The record is from RefSeq and is marked validated. The transcript is spliced from 12 exons. Lineage: Eukaryota; Viridiplantae; Streptophyta; Magnoliopsida; Poales; Poaceae.